Molecule: long non-coding RNA, 1540 nt
Filed under: Equus asinus (donkey)
Lineage: Eukaryota; Metazoa; Chordata; Mammalia; Perissodactyla; Equidae
Description: lncRNA (ENSEASG00005029477.1)
Source: RNAcentral
CUUUUGGGGAUUUGUUAGAUGCAGGGAGUGUUCUCUCCCUUUUAGGGUUCCCAGUCUGGUCCUCGGUAUCCUUGGAACCAAAGCCUGGAGCCGGUCUGGAAAAGCACUGGAGGGACUGGUGCCAGGGCCCCCCCUUGGCUUGGCCCGGCCACGUGCUGACCCACUAGGAUUUUUCCAUCGCUCCUGGAGGUCACACCUUCACUGCUCAGGAGCCUCUCAAGGAGGGUGAUAGUGAUUAAUGUUUUAUGGAUCAGCUGCUGGGCAUGACGCCUUGUUUUCUUUAGGUUUAGAAUACAAUGAGGGCGAUGAGUGGAAUUUGCUAGGAGCUGGGGGCCAGGGCAGGGCCAUUCUUGGGGGCCACAGACCCAUAGGUGGUGAUGUUUACUGUCCUUAGUGAUGAAAAGGGGGCAAUUCUGGAGGUCAUGAAGGCAGGUGAGGCCUUUGCCUACAGGGCCAUUGUCUCCAGCCCUCAAGAGACAAUCCCUACCAUCACCUUGGGCCUGGUGCGCAGAGUGGCCGCUGGUGAAGGGUACCCAGAAAUUUUAAUGAGCUCAUUCUGCUCAGGUGACUCUGCCUCAUUCCAAUAAAACCACAUUCUCUGCAUAUAGGAUUUUGCUUAUUUUUCUGUUCUUUCCAGAGUAUUGAUGGGGAACGAAGUGAGGGCACAGCUGAUCUUCAGCCAUAUGGGUUAACCCCCUUCCUCCUCGCCAGACUUGAAGAGGUGUUUCUGCUCCACACCUGUGAGAGUCUUGCUGGGCCCAAAGGAGGGUGUGACUCUGUUAAACUGUUCGUGAAGUUCCAGGAGUGGCUGAUGCGCCUGGAUUGUGACUGAGGGGCCAGUGGCACCUUCCAUCCGACACGAAUUCCAAGAAUUUCCACUGCUGGCACCCAGGCUGGGAGGAGCAGCUGCAUCUGCCGCCAGGAAUGUGGGGCCUAGAGACACCAAGCCCAGGAAUGCCUCCCUGGGGCCCGAAGCUUCCGUUCCAGAAAAUCCUGAGGACUCCUUGCUCUCUGUUUCCUUCCUUCUCCCUGAGUGUGAAGCCAGCCCAAGCCGCCCUUGAAAUUUUCUGGAGGGGAAAUCCUAGAGAGUUAGGUUUAAAACAGAGCUCAGCAGCCAUGGGGAUUCUACCAACAGGCGCCAUCCUCAGCGGGGUGGGCUUCUGUGGGUCACCUGCCCUCUGUGAUCCUCACAGAGUGACAGCCCCAGCUCCUCGAGCUGUCGACUCAUUUUCCCAGGUGAUGAGGUAAGUUCAGAAACCACAUCACCCUCUGGGACACUCAACCAUAGUAGAGGCUCUGACAAGCUCUGCAAUAAAAAACACUCACUUUUUUAGGCAGGGGUUCACCAAACUUAUUUGGCCAAAAAACUUUCUUUUAGAAGUAACUCUUAACAUAAUUUCAGUGAAUCGGUUUUCUAUGGAACACGUAUUGUAAAUGUUGGUCUGGGCAUUAUCUCUGAGGACCCCUCAGCUUUCAGAGCGUCCCUCUUUAAACCUCAGGUGGCUUAGUUUAUCAAAACCUCUCCUGAGGGCAGGUGAGG